GAUGAACGCUGGCGGCGUGCCUAAUACAUGCAAGUCGAGCGAACGGACGAGAAGCUUGCUUCUCUGAUGUUAGCGGCGGACGGGUGAGUAACACGUGGAUAACCUACCUAUAAGACUGGGAUAACUUCGGGAAACCGGAGCUAAUACCGGAUAAUAUUUUGAACCGCAUGGUUCAAAAGUGAAAGACGGUCUUGCUGUCACUUAUAGAUGGAUCCGCGCUGCAUUAGCUAGUUGGUAAGGUAACGGCUUACCAAGGCAACGAUGCAUAGCCGACCUGAGAGGGUGAUCGGCCACACUGGAACUGAGACACGGUCCAGACUCCUACGGGAGGCAGCAGUAGGGAAUCUUCCGCAAUGGGCGAAAGCCUGACGGAGCAACGCCGCGUGAGUGAUGAAGGUCUUCGGAUCGUAAAACUCUAUUAUUAGGGAAGAACAUAUGUGUAAGUAACUGUGCACAUCUUGACGGUACCUAAUCAGAAAGCCACGGCUAACUACGUGCCAGCAGCCGCGGUAAUACGUAGGUGGCAAGCGUUAUCCGGAAUUAUUGGGCGUAAAGCGCGCGUAGGCGGUUUUUUAAGUCUGACGUGAAAGCCCACGGCUCAACCGUGGAGGGUCAUUGGAAACUGGAAAACUUGAGUGCAGAAGAGGAAAGUGGAAUUCCAUGUGUAGCGGUGAAAUGCGCAGAGAUAUGGAGGAACACCAGUGGCGAAGGCGACUUUCUGGUCUGUAACUGACGCUGAUGUGCGAAAGCGUGGGGAUCAAACAGGAUUAGAUACCCUGGUAGUCCACGCCGUAAACGAUGAGUGCUAAGUGUUAGGGGGUUUCCGCCCCUUAGUGCUGCAGCUAACGCAUUAAGCACUCCGCCUGGGGAGUACGACCGCAAGGUUGAAACUCAAAGGAAUUGACGGGGACCCGCACGAGCGGUGGAGCAUGUGGUUUAAUUCGAAGCAACGCGAAGAACCUUACCAAAUCUUGACAUCCUUUGACAACUCUAGAGAUAGAGCCUUCCCCUUCGGGGGGGCAAAGUGACAGGUGGUGCAUGGUUGUCGUCAGCUCGUGUCGUGAGAUGUUGGGUUAAGUCCCGCAACGAGCGCAACCCUUAAGCUUAGUUGCCAUCAUUAAGUUGGGCACUCUAAGUUGACUGCCGGUGACAAACCGGAGGAAGGUGGGGAUGACGUCAAAUCAUCAUGCCCCUUAUGAUUUGGGCUACACACGUGCUACAAUGGACAAUACAAAGGGCAGCGAAACCGCGAGGUCAAGCAAAUCCCAUAAAGUUGUUCUCAGUUCGGAUUGUAGUCUGCAACUCGACUACAUGAAGCUGGAAUCGCUAGUAAUCGUAGAUCAGCAUGCUACGGUGAAUACGUUCCCGGGUCU
This 1373-nucleotide ribosomal RNA is filed under the name uncultured bacterium. Its description in RNAcentral is "bacterial SSU rRNA". It matches the Rfam family "Bacterial small subunit ribosomal RNA", at positions 28 to 1381 of the family's 1533-position model. The record is from RNAcentral.